Molecule: unclassified non-coding RNA, 272 nt
Filed under: plant metagenome
Description: partial contains small subunit ribosomal RNA, internal transcribed spacer 1, and 5.8S ribosomal RNA
Source: RNAcentral
UUUCCGUAGGUGAACCUGCGGAAGGAUCAUUAAUGAGUUGUCAUGGGGUUCGAUGCUGGUAGCCAGUUUUUGGAUGCAUGUGCUUGCCCUAACAAUCAUCUUCUUCCAAACACCUGUGCACAUUUUUGAGGGAGUCUUGAGUUGGUUGCCGCUCUUGGGUGAUUUUCUCACAUUCCCUUAAAUCAUUAUACGCUAUUAACAAUGUUGAACGUGCUCUGUGCCGCAAGGCCAUUAAUAUAAUACAACUUUUAACAACGGAUCUCUUGGCUCUC